GUGGGGAAUAUUGGACAAUGGGCGAAAGCCUGAUCCAGCCAUGCCGCGUGUGUGAAGAAGGUCUUCGGAUUGUAAAGCACUUUAAGUUGGGAGGAAGGGCAUUAACCUAAUACGUUAGUGUUUUGACGUUACCGACAGAAUAAGCACCGGCUAACUUCGUGCCAGCAGCCGCGGUAAUACGAAGGGUGCAAGCGUUAAUCGGAAUUACUGGGCGUAAAGCGCGCGUAGGUGGUUCGUUAAGUUGGAUGUGAAAGCCCCGGGCUCAACCUGGGAACUGCAUCCAAAACUGGCGAGAUAGAGUACGGUAGAGGGUGGUGGAAUUUCCUGUGUAGCGGUGAAAUGCGUAGAUAUAGGAAGGAACACCAGUGGCGAAGGCGACCACCUGGACUGAUACUGACACUGAGGUGCGAAAGCGUGGGGAGCAAACAGGAUUAGAAACCCGGGUAGUCC
RNAcentral lists this ribosomal RNA (450 nucleotides) under uncultured bacterium. RNAcentral describes it as "partial 16S ribosomal RNA". It matches the Rfam family "Bacterial small subunit ribosomal RNA", at positions 354 to 796 of the family's 1533-position model. The record is from RNAcentral.